UGCCAGACUCCUACGGGAGGCAGCAGUGGGGAAUAUUGCACAAUGGGGGAAACCCUGAUGCAGCGACGCCGCGUGAGUGAAGAAGUAUUUCGGUACGUAAAGCUCUAUCAGCAGGGAAGAAAAAAAGUCCUUUGGACUUUGGACGGUACCUGACUAAGAAGCCCCGGCUAACUACGUGCCAGCAGCCGCGGUAAUACGUAGGGGGCAAGCGUUAUCCGGAUUUACUGGGUGUAAAGGGAGCGUAGACGGCAGUGCAAGUCUGAAGUGAAAGGCGGGGGCCCAACCCCCGGACUGCUUUGGAAACUGUGCUGCUGGAGUGCAGGAGAGGCAAGUGGAAUUCCUAGUGUAGCGGUGAAAUGCGUAGAUAUUAGGAGGAACACCAGUGGCGAAGGCGGCUUGCUGGACUGUAACUGACGUUGAGGCCCGAAAGCGUGGGGAGCAAACAGGAUUAGAUACCCUGGUA
RNAcentral lists this ribosomal RNA (463 nucleotides) under uncultured bacterium. Its description in RNAcentral is "bacterial SSU rRNA". It matches the Rfam family "Bacterial small subunit ribosomal RNA", at positions 329 to 792 of the family's 1533-position model. The record is from RNAcentral.